GUACGCGUUUCUGUAUACUUACAUUUCGAUGGGUUAAACGCAAUCGGAUUUUAGCAUAUUUAAUGAAAAAAUGUCUGAUCCAGAACUGGAAGCAAUUCGUCAACAGCGUUUAACGCAAUUACAAUCCCAAUUUAAGGGUAAUGAUGGGGCGAAUCAACAGCAAGCUGCUGAAGAGAAAAGACAGCAAAUAGAAGAAAUGCGUCACUCCAUUCUUACGCAAGUCCUCGAUCAGUCAGCAAGAGCUAGAUUAAAUACACUAUGUUUGGGAAAACCUGAAAAAGGUAAAAUGGUGGAAGAAAUGUUAUUGAAUAUGGCACAACGAGGGCAACUACCUGGUAAACUUGGGGAGAAAGAACUCAUUGGGCUUUUGGAAAGCGUUAACCAGCAGACGCGACGUACAACAACUGUUAAGUUUGACAGACGUAGAGCAGCACUGGAUUCUGAUGAUGAAUUAUAGCAGUUGGUAAGUACAUAUCCAAAAUACACGCGACACGGACUUGCACUUGAACAUAUAUACAAUUUGUCAUCAUUCCUGUCAAAGACGAACAAUGCAGGAGCCUUUUGAACUGGCGCGUGUUCACCUACGACAUGUGGAUGAGACUGAUAGAAAAAUGCAUGAGGCUGGAACACGUCAGCUGCUCUUCGAUAAACUUCCUAUAUUGGCAAAUACAUAUAAAAUAAGCACAGAGACAAUUUUGAAAAUUUGAUUAACGAUCAAAUAGAUUAUUUAAUUACCCAUAGAGAACCGGACUUUUCACCGACGUACAAGAAGUAUACGUCACGAUCUCGUUUUAUUGUAUCAAAGCUCUGAGACUUUGUUAUCUCCUGCACGGGAGGACCACUCAAUCUCUGAGCAAAUUUUACUAUUUCAUCUCUUGUCCUGUCGCCGUGAUACACAAAUUCGUUGUCUCCCUUUAAA
Molecule: RNA transcript, 919 nt
Organism: Cephus cinctus (wheat stem sawfly)
Lineage: Eukaryota; Metazoa; Arthropoda; Insecta; Hymenoptera; Cephidae
Gene: PDCD-5
Gene name: programmed cell death protein 5
Exons: 6
Source: RefSeq, a predicted model, not a curated record